RNAcentral lists this ribosomal RNA (478 nucleotides) under uncultured organism. RNAcentral's name for it is "partial 16S ribosomal RNA". It matches the Rfam family "Bacterial small subunit ribosomal RNA", at positions 331 to 800 of the family's 1533-position model. The record is from RNAcentral.
GUACACUCCUACGGGAGGCAGCAGUGGGGAAUUUUGGACAAUGGGCGAAAGCCUGAUCCAGCAAUGCCGCGUGCAGGAUGAAGGCCUUCGGGUUGUAAACUGCUUUUGUACGGAACGAAAAAGCUCCUUCUAAUACAGGGGGCCCAUGACGGUACCGUAAGAAUAAGCACCGGCUAACUACGUGCCAGCAGCCGCGGUAAUACGUAGGGUGCGAGCGUUAAUCGGAAUUACUGGGCGUAAAGCGUGCGCAGGCGGUUAUGUAAGACAGAUGUGAAAUCCCCGGGCUCAACCUGGGAACUGCAUUUGUGACUGCAUGGCUAGAGUACGGUAGAGGGGGAUGGAAUUCCGCGUGUAGCAGUGAAAUGCGUAGAUAUGCGGAGGAACACCGAUGGCGAAGGCAAUCCCCUGGACCUGUACUGACGCUCAUGCACGAAAGCGUGGGGAGCAAACAGGAUUAGAUACCCCAGUAGUCCCAUGA